CGGGGUGCACCAGGCGCGAAAACUUUACAAUGCGGGAAACCGUGAUAAGGGGACACCGAGUGCCAGCAUCAUAUGCUGGCUGUCCAGGUGUGUAAAAUACACCUGUUAGCAAGGGCCGGGCAAGACCGGUGCCAGCCGCCGCGGUAACACCGGCGGCCCGAGUGGUGAUCGUGAUUAUUGGGUCUAAAGGGUCCGUAGCCGGUUUGGUCAGUCCUCCGGGAAAUCUGAUAGCUCAACUAUUAGGCUUUCGGGGGAUACUGCCAGACUUGGAACCGGGAGAGGUAAGAGGUACUACAGGGGUAGGAGUGAAAUCUUGUAAUCCCUGUGGGACCACCUGUGGCGAAGGCGUCUUACCAGAACGGGUUCGACGGUGAGGGACGAAAGCUGGGGGCACGAACCGGAUUAGAUACCCGGGUAGUCCCGGCCGUAAACGAUGCUCGCUAGGUGUCAGACAUGGCGCGACCGUGUCUGGUGCCGCAGGGAAGCCGUGAAGCGAGCCACCUGGGAAGUACGGCCGCAAGGCUGAAACUUAAAGGAAUUGGC
RNAcentral lists this ribosomal RNA (543 nucleotides) under uncultured archaeon. Its description in RNAcentral is "bacterial SSU rRNA". It matches the Rfam family "Archaeal small subunit ribosomal RNA", at positions 326 to 869 of the family's 1478-position model. The record is from RNAcentral.